CCCUUAGAUGUUCUGGGCCGCACGCGCGCUACACUGAUGCAUUCAACGAGUUUCUUCCUGGUCCGAGAGGAAUGGGUAUCCUUUUGAAAGUGCAUCGUGAUAGGGAUAGACUAUUGCAAUUAUUGGUCUUCAACGAGGAAUUCCUAGUAGACGUAGUUCAUCAGACUGCAUCGAUUACGUCCCUGCCCUUUGUACACACCGCCCGUCGCUCCUACCGAUUGAAUGCUCAGGUGAGCCAUUCGGACUUUCAUCAUGCUGGUUUCCAGUUUUGAUGAAGGAAAGUCUUGCGAACCUUAUCAUUUAGAGGAAGGAGAAGUCGUAACA
RNAcentral lists this ribosomal RNA (324 nucleotides) under uncultured eukaryote. RNAcentral describes it as "partial 18S ribosomal RNA". It matches the Rfam family "Eukaryotic small subunit ribosomal RNA", at positions 1470 to 1796 of the family's 1831-position model. The record is from RNAcentral.